AUUGAACGCUGGCGGCAGGCUUAACACAUGCGAGUCGAGCGGAGAUGAGGUGCAUGCACCUUAUCUUAGCGGCGGAGGGGUGAGUAAUGCUUAGGAAUCUGCCUAUUAGUGGGGGACAACAUUCCGAAAGGAAUGCUAAUACCGCAUACGUCCUACGGGAGAAAGCAGGGGAUCUUCGGACCUUGCGCUAAUAGAUGAGCCUAAGUCGGAUUAGCUAGUUGGGGGGGUAAAGGCCUACCAAGGCGACUAUCUGUAGCGGGUCUGAGAGGAUGAUCCGCCACACUGGGACUGAGACACGGCCCACACUCCUACGGGAGGCAGCAGUGGGGAAUAUUGGACAGUGGGGGGAACCCUGAUCCAGCCAUGCCGCGUGUGUGAAGAAGGCCUUAUGGUUGUAAAGCACUUUAAGCGAGGAGGAGGCUACUGAGACUAAUACUCUUGGAUAGUGGACGUUACUCGCAGAAUAAGCACCGGCUAUCUCUGUGCCAGCAGCCGCGGUAAUACAGAGGGUGCGAGCGUUAAUC
This 524-nucleotide ribosomal RNA is filed under the name uncultured bacterium. RNAcentral's name for it is "bacterial SSU rRNA". It matches the Rfam family "Bacterial small subunit ribosomal RNA", at positions 28 to 546 of the family's 1533-position model. The record is from RNAcentral.